Molecule: ribosomal RNA, 275 nt
Filed under: Foraminifera environmental sample
Lineage: Eukaryota; Foraminifera
Description: partial small subunit ribosomal RNA
Source: RNAcentral
CGGUCACGUUCGUUGCAUUCAAAAUUUUAUUUAUAUAUUAAAUACUAUAAAUAAUAUAUUUUUAUUUAUUGUAUUUUAUAUUAUUUUUUUUAUUUUAUGAAACGCAAUUAAGCAGACAAAUCAAUCCACGAACUAAGAACGGCCAUGCACCACCUAUCACAUAAUCAUGAAAGAACUAUCAUAUUUUAUAUAAGGUUAUUUUAUCUGUCAAUCCUUAAUGUGUCCGGACCUGGUAAGAUUUCCCGUGUUGAGUCAAAUUAAGCCACAUGUUCCAC